This is a long non-coding RNA of Bubalus bubalis (water buffalo), 832 nucleotides long. RefSeq lists it as uncharacterized. The record is from RefSeq and is a predicted model, not a curated record. Lineage: Eukaryota; Metazoa; Chordata; Mammalia; Artiodactyla; Bovidae. The transcript has 4 exons.
ACAGUAAGGAGAGGAGCCGAUAGGGAUGGAGGAAGACUCGGAGCUGAGAGUGGUGGUGCUGAGAGGCUGGAGGUUGCUCGGUGGACGGGGGGCGCAUCCUUGAGGCCUUGGCGUCUCCUCACCUGCCAAGACACCAAUUUCCGUUGAACGGCUGCAGGUGGACGCCCUGAGCGGUUGAGACCCCUGGACGCCAGUGGAAGAAGGAUCUCUGAGGCUCAGGUCCACAGUGGCCCCAGCUGCCUUUUGCAGCGCCAUCACGGGCUUCAGGAACAGUAGAGGUGGUUCGGGUUAGUUGUUCCCAGACCUGGCAGUGCCUCUAGUCGAGGGGCUGACAGGCCCGGCCCUAAUCUCCUAGUCUCGAGGUCUGUGUGCCCCUCCUCCUGGAGAAGCAGAAGUGCAAACGCCAGAAAGAGCCGAUGCUGGCCGUAGGGCCUUUGAAGAAUGUGCAAAAUGUGGAAAUGCCAUAUCACUGAAGGCAACAAUGCUUUGCUGCUUGCCUAAGGAGAGAAGCAGAUAGUUAAGAGAAGCAGAAGAAUGUUGCUGAGAAAUGAAUAGCAGGAAGAAAUCAGAAACUGCAGGAACCGAGGGGCAUUUACUUCUGUUGCUGAGACACCAUAAGAGCUGCGAAUGACUCAGACUACUGAGGCUCAAGAACUGCUCCUGAGUUGCCAUGGGAUCUGCAUGCAAGGAGAUGAGCCCUGGCUGUAAUGCCAGGGAUGCUCUUUCUUGUCUGUUUUUACUUCUUCAUGUUACCUUCUCCCAUCCCAUGUUAACAUGUCUCUCUGAUCCUUAAAAACUGUACUUUCAUUUAUUCAAUAAACACUAGAAUCUA